This 270-nucleotide ribosomal RNA is filed under the name uncultured bacterium. RNAcentral's name for it is "partial 16S ribosomal RNA". It matches the Rfam family "Bacterial small subunit ribosomal RNA", at positions 85 to 354 of the family's 1533-position model. The record is from RNAcentral.
CUGAUGGCGACCGGCGUACGGGUGAGUAACGCGUAUCCAACCUGCCCUUUACUAUGGGACAGCCCGUCGAAAGGCGGAUUAAUACCGUAUGUUGUCAUGUUGAUGCAUAUUUUCAUGACCAAAGGCUUCGGCCGGUAAAGGAUGGGGAUGCGUCUGAUUAGCUGCCGGCGGGGUAACGGCCCACCGGGGCGACGAUCAGUAGGGGUUCUGAGAGGAAGGUCCCCCACAUUGGAACUGAGACACGGUCCAAACUCCUACGGGAGGCAGCAG